This 3259-nucleotide long non-coding RNA is filed under the name Homo sapiens (human). Its description in RNAcentral is "HSALNT0310999". Lineage: Eukaryota; Metazoa; Chordata; Mammalia; Primates; Hominidae. The record is from RNAcentral.
GAGACUUCAUAGGAGUUUCAGAAACCUCUCUGUCUCACUGAAGCAACUGCAGGAAGUAGGGGAUAAACAAAUCCUAUCUUAAAUCCUCCUGGGAAAUACUCUGAUUUUAGGAGGAACUAAGAGAGGGUUGUGGCCAAAUUACUCCUGCCCAUCUUUGUGUUAUUUAUGGCCUUUGCUUGAUUUGAGUUAAAACAAAUGUACUUCUAGAACCUGGCAGCAAAAUGCUAUAUAAUAGAGAAGAGCAGCUGUAUCUGGCCCAUCUCAGGAUAAAAAGCAAGUGUGAAAAGACAUCGUUCCUUUUCUGUUGAACCAGAUCACUAUUCAAAAGAUUCAUUCCCCAAGAUUCUUCCUCAGCUUUGUCUUCAAUAGUCUCAAUGAAAUAGAAGAAAUUUAAAAAGUAAAAGCAAUGAGAACAACUUUAAGACAUCUCUGUAGAGAAUUCAGUCCUCUUCAGCAGUCCCAUAUUUUCAUCUGUUCAUUCAUUCAUUCCACGAAUGUCAACUCUCCAUACCGUGCUAGGCUGUGUCCUAGAUGCAGAAGCAGAACAAAUAAAGAGGCACUAGCUGAUGUCCUUGAGCCCUUUCAGGGUAACAACAUCCUUCUUGAUCUGCUGACCUGCAUGGCAAGAUGUUAUUUACUGCUCACAUUAGUUGUGUCCUUGGCUAUGAAUUAACCAUGACUUAAGAGCAGUGUGUGUGAAAGCCCUCCGCAUUCUGUUGGCAAGCAUGUUGUUUGCAAAAAUUGAUCAUUCAUUUUUAAGCAACACCUAUGUGGAUCAUUAACACCAGGUACAGUUACUAAAAUGAAACUCUUGAGAAUAUUUUCCAUUUGUAAUUUGAAUUCUUGUCAAUUUUUGAGGCUUUCCUGAAAACAAAUGACUGGGUUUUUUAAAAUCCAUCUUUUUAAGUUUUUUAUUCACUGAAUUAGUUAGAAGUGAUUCUGCUAAUCUUUCUUAACCCUAAAUGCAAUAUUUUCUGAGUGAAAUAAUGAAAAACCUGAGGAAAAAAAAACUAUAGGAAAUCAUAAUUUGCUGAGGCAGGGUUUUCUUUAUUAAUAAAAUAAUUUAAUUGGUUGUUACUAAAUGUGAUGGUUUUAUGACCAAGUAUAAGAUUUAGUUAGUAAGCAUGAAUUGCAAUUAUAUACAGCAAUAUUUCUUUGCUGGGAUGAUUGGGAAGGUCAUCUCUUUGGGCCUUAGUUUCCUCAUCCAUAAAGUAAGUUUGUUUGUACUCCAUUGAAAAAAAAAAAAAGGGUGGGGGCUGGGUGCAGUGGCUCACACCUGUAAUCCCAGCACUUUGGGAGGCCGAGGGGGUGGAUCACUUGAAGUUAGGAGUUCAAGAUCAGCUUGGGCAACAUGGUGAAACCAUGUGUCUACUGGAAAUACAAAAAUUAGCUGGGAGUGGUGGUAUGCCUCUGUAAUCCCAGAUACUCAGUGACUGAGGCAAGAGAAUCCCUUGAACCUGGGAGGCAGAAGUUGCAGUGAGCCGAAAUUGGGCCACUGCACUCCAGCCUGGGUGACAGCAUGGGACUCCAUCUCAAACAAACAACAACAACAACAAAAUAGGAAAUUGGGAUUUUUAUAUUUCUCUGGCUUCUUAUGCUGCAAUUCACAUUCCCUAGGAGAGUGAAUAUGGGAUUUGCAAUUUUCCCUAAAAUCUAGAGCAGAAAUCAGCAAACAAUGGCUCUUGGUCCAAGUCUGGCUCACUACUUGUUUUUAUAAAGUUUUCUGAAAUACAGCCAUGCUCAUUUUUAAACCUAUUGCUUAUGCCUGGUUUCAUACUAUAAAGUCAGAGUUGUAUACUUGCAACAGAGACUGAAAGCUAAAAAUAUUAACUCUUUGGAUCUUCCCAGAAAAAGUUUGCUGCUCCAGAUCUAGGGUAAGAAUCUCCAAAGUCAGAGUAUAUGCACCUUUAGGAGAAAAAUGUUUAACUUGAACUUCCAUGAAGAUUUGUUUUUUUUUUGUCCCAACCUUUAUUAUUUUUGAUAUGUGUUUUACAAUGUACCUAAUAAUUGACUAUAGUAAAUAUGAAAUUAUUGCUAAUAAAUAUACAUAUAUGGGAGCAUAUUCUCAAAGUAUUUUACUAAUGCAAGAGGCAUGGUCAAAAAGAUGUGGAGGCCAUUAGUCAGAAGAUGCAGGUAUUCCAGAUAAAAUACACGAAUGCAACCCAUAAAAUGAUAGCAAAUAUACAUUGUGACUUCAACAAAGGCCAGGCUACAUAGGAUACUUUCUGUUUUAGUAAUAAAAUUCAGGAAACUUACAGAAGAAAUCUGUACUUAUUUAUUUCAGACAGGGUCUCAUUCUGUCACCCCGGCUAGAGUGUGGUGGCAUAAUCAUAGCUCACUGCAACUUCUACCUCCAGGGCUCAAGUGAUCCUCCCACCUCAGCCUCACAAGUAGCAGGAAUUACAGGCACAUGCUACCACACUUGGCUAAAUUUUUUAUUUUUUGCAGAGGCAAGAUCUCACUAUAUUGUUCAGGCUGGUCUUGAACUCUUAGGCUCAAGUGAUCCUCCUGCCUCAGCCUCCCAAAGUGCUAGGAUUACAGGCAUAUGCCACCACACCUGGCUUGUAUUUUCGAUAAUUUAAAAAUGCACAUCUUUCAUUUAUAUUUUGGAACAGUCCUUCUCAAAUUGUCUUUUUGUAGGACCACUUUUUGAUUUUUAAACCAUUUUGAACUUAUAUUUUUAUAAAUACAAUAAAAAUUACUUAAAAAAGUGCAAUGACAAAAACAAUCUCUAUUUUUUAAUUAUUAGAUUUAACAAACAUACAACUACUGUGUCAAAUUGCUAUAGAAGUUUCAAAAUAUUUACUCUCGACUAUCGCUUUGUGAAUCACUAGCAAAAAUGUUUGUAGACCAGGAUUGGUUCACUAACAUACGAUAGCACUGGUGUACAGGACUCAAGGGCUUCCUGUAAAAGGCAGGGAUCUGAAAUUUCUUCUAGUGCCUUAAUUUUUGGAGUGGAUGCUUUAUUUAAAUGAGCGAUUACAGCAAAGCGGCAAUAUAAAAUGAUUUGUAAAUGAAAGCAAAAUUUCUAAGUUCUGAGGAUCAAUUCAAUUCAAAUCAUAUGUCUUGGCCUAUGUACAAGGCAAUAUGACAGCCCUAUAAAUAAUAAAAUAUGAUGGAAGACUUUCUUUGCCCUCAUGAAGAUUAAAGUCAAAUAAGACAUUGUUUUUUAAACUUUUUUUGACAGAAGUUCAGUGUUAAAAAAUACAUUUUAUAACAUAAUCCACCAUGCAGGUAUAUAUAUAUUUGAAAUAAGAAU